RNAcentral lists this ribosomal RNA (468 nucleotides) under uncultured bacterium. Its description in RNAcentral is "partial 16S ribosomal RNA". It matches the Rfam family "Bacterial small subunit ribosomal RNA", at positions 28 to 507 of the family's 1533-position model. The record is from RNAcentral.
GACGAACGCUGGCGGCGUGCUUAACACAUGCAAGUCGAACGGAAAGGCCCUGCUUUUGUGGGGUGCUCGAGUGGCGAACGGGUGAGUAACACGUGAGUAACCUGCCCUUGACUUUGGGAUAACUUCAGGAAACUGGGGCUAAUACCGGAUAGGAGCUCCUGCUGCAUGGUGGGGGUUGGAAAGUUUCGGCGGUUGGGGAUGGACUCGCGGCUUAUCAGCUUGUUGGUGGGGUAGUGGCUUACCAAGGCUUUGACGGGUAGCCGGCCUGAGAGGGUGACCGGCCACAUUGGGACUGAGAUACGGCCCAGACUCCUACGGGAGGCAGCAGUGGGGAAUAUUGCACAAUGGGCGGAAGCCUGAUGCAGCAACGCCGCGUGCGGGAGGACGGCCUUCGGGUGGUAAACCGCUUUCGCCUGGGACGAAGCGUGAGUGACGGUAAUGGGUAAAGAAGCACCGGCUAACUACGUG